GGAAAUAUCUUAUGGCUUCAUAAUCAAUUCAUUUAAGAAUGACAUUAUGAAAGUACACAUUUAGUGACAUUAGAUUCACAUAGUACUAAUCUAUAUAGUGUCCCUCAAAAAAAAAUCUAUAUAGUGAAGAGUUGUAAGUUUGAACAUAAGCCCAAUGUAAAGUAUUCUUGAAUGUAAUUAUUAAUAUAUAGAUACCUAUCUACGCAUCUAUGCGUGCAUACUAGAUAAAACGACGUCGUUUCUGGAUUAAAGACCACCUCCAUCAUAAUAUCACCCAUAAAUUCAGCAUAUACCCAUUUUCUCUCUCCUCUAACCUCUCACCAUCUUCUCUCUCAUCAACUCCAUUUUCUCUCUCCAUUUUUUUUACUGAUAUGGCAAAUCACCGGCGGCGCCACCACCACCUCCAUCAUAAUAUCACCAGCUACAUUGAUUUUCUCGGUGGUUUCUCCCAGCAAUUACCUCCAUCGUCGGCGUUAUGUUUCUCUGUUUCUUCGUCCUUUCCUUUUUCGCUCCUCGUCCUUCUCGCCUCCUUCACCGUGGUCGCACUCGCAGCUAGCUCAUCCUCCUCAUCUGUCAGAUGUUCUUGAGCUUCUGGAGCUGAUUCAUCGUCGGUGAUUUAUAAAUCUCAUAGAUGCGUGAAUUACCCUCAGGAAGCACAAUUUUAGUUUUGUAAAGAAGCCAAAAAAGAUGAUGCAGAGGAUGCAAUGAUCUAAUUUUGUGUUCAGUUGCUUUAUGGAUCGUGCUCAAGUACACAUGGAAGGUAAAUGUUAAUAAGAAUGCGGCAACGAAAGAAAAAAAUUGAUUUAGAAAUGGAAGAUAUGGUAUGAAGAGAUGUUGUAAGAAUUGAAGAAGAAUUGAAGGCAGAAGCAACAAGAAAAGAAUCUGGAAAUAAGGUCGCAGAUAGAAAGAGAAAAGAGACCGAUGUACAUAAAAAGUGAAAGCCGAAAGGAAGGAAGCAGAAAAAUUAGAAGCAUAUAGAAAGAGAAAAUUGGAAGUAGAAGUAAAUAAAUGAAAUGUUCAUUUUUUAAACAUGAGUGUUCAUUUGUGUGUUUUUUAUGUGUGCUUCUUGUAUCUUACUCAAAUGUUCAAAUUUUUUUUUAGGAAAACAAGUGUGAUAAAAAAAGUUUUUUUAAAAGAAAAAUUCAAAAUUCAAAAAAAAAAAAGAGGACACAGAAUAAUGGACUAAAAAAAGAAAGGAAAAAUCACACAAAACUGCUAAAACGAAAUAUUUGUAGCUCAUAUGCAUGCAGAAUUGCAUGCAUAGGUAUGCAGCCAAAAAUUUGGGUUCUUGAAUGGGCAACUCUUUAUUUAUUGGGCCUGAUUGGAAGUUAGUAAUAGCCAUAGGCCCAUGAGACUGAUAAGAGAAUACUAAAAUAAGCUAGGCCCAUUCCAACUUCCAAGUUAGAAUCAUUACAGGGAUUUCCACUAAUAUAAAAGUUGUGGUUCUCGCGGUAUCACGAUAUGUAUAUCGAGAAGCUAAUCGUGCUGCUGAUUACGUUGCAUCAAUUUCUCAUCAUAUUACAAGACACCUAGAUAUUGAUCCUUUUAUAGACAAUAAAUUUUCUUAUUUUAUUUCCUUAGAUAAGUUAGGUUUUAGUCUUGUAUAUGUAUCUCUAUUAUAUACCUUUUUUUCCCCGAAAAGUUGUAAUGUCUUAUAUUGAUAAUUUUUUCAUCAUUACAUUCAAAUCUCUAUGUAGAUGUCGUAGAUUUGGUGAAAGAAAACUUUUAUUUUAUUCAAUUAUUAUUAUUUAUUAGAUUUAAAUCUCUAUGUAGAUGUCGUAGAUUUGGUGAAA
Long non-coding RNA from Spinacia oleracea (spinach), 1793 nucleotides. RefSeq lists it as uncharacterized. The record is from RefSeq and is a predicted model, not a curated record. The transcript has 3 exons. NCBI's taxonomy places the organism in Eukaryota, Viridiplantae, Streptophyta, Magnoliopsida, Caryophyllales, Amaranthaceae.